GGAGCGAAAGCAUGGGGAGCGAACAGGAUUAGAUACCCUGGUAGUCCAUGCCGUAAACGUUGGGCACUAGGUGUGGGGACCAUUCCACGGUUUCCGCGCCGCAGCUAACGCAUUAAGUGCCCCGCCUGGGGAGUACGGCCGCAAGGCUAAAACUCAAAGGAAUUGACGGGGGCCCGCACAAGCGGCGGAGCAUGCGGAUUAAUUCGAUGCAACGCGAAGAACCUUACCAAGGCUUGACAUGUUCUCGAUCGCCGUAGAGAUACGGUUUCCCCUUUGGGGCGGGUUCACAGGUGGUGCAUGGUUGUCGUCAGCUCGUGUCGUGAGAUGUUGGGUUAAGUCCCGCAACGAGCGCAACCCUCGUUCCAUGUUGCCAGCACGUAAUGGUGGGGACUCAUGGGAGACUGCCGGGGUCAACUCGGAGGAAGGUGAGGACGACGUCAAAUCAUCAUGCCCCUUAUGUCUUGGGCUUCACGCAUGCUACAAUGGCCGGUACAAUGGGUUGCGAUACUGUGAGGUGGAGCUAAUCCCAAAAAGCCGGUCUCAGUUCGGAUUGGGGUCUGCAACUCGACCCCAUGAAGUCGGAGUCGCUAGUAAUCGCAGAUCAGCAACGCUGCGGUGAAUACGUUCCCGGGCCUUGUACACUCCGCCC
Molecule: ribosomal RNA, 649 nt
Filed under: uncultured bacterium
Lineage: Bacteria
Description: bacterial SSU rRNA
Rfam family: Bacterial small subunit ribosomal RNA
Source: RNAcentral